Molecule: ribosomal RNA, 245 nt
Filed under: uncultured bacterium
Lineage: Bacteria
Description: partial 16S ribosomal RNA
Rfam family: Bacterial small subunit ribosomal RNA
Source: RNAcentral
AUGGCGACCGGCGCACGGGUGAGUAACACGUAUCCAACCUGCCGAUAACUCGGGGAUAGCCUUUCGAAAGAAAGAUUAAUACCCGAUGGUAUAAUUAGACCGCAUGGUCUUGUUAUUAAAGAAUUUCGGUUAUCGAUGGGGAUGCGUUCCAUUAGGCAGUUGGUGAGGUAACGGCUCACCAAACCUUCGAUGGAUAGGGGUUCUGAGAGGAAGGUCCCCCAUAUUGGAACUGAGACACGGUCCAA